This 420-nucleotide ribosomal RNA is filed under the name uncultured bacterium. Its description in RNAcentral is "bacterial SSU rRNA". It matches the Rfam family "Bacterial small subunit ribosomal RNA", at positions 954 to 1372 of the family's 1533-position model. The record is from RNAcentral.
GCUAAACGCGAAGAACCUUACCAGGCCUUGACAUGCAGAGAACUUUCCAGAGAUGGAUUGGUGCCUUCGGGAACUCUGACACAGGUGCUGCAUGGCUGUCGUCAGCUCGUGUCGUGAGAUGUUGGGUUAAGUCCCGUAACGAGCGCAACCCUUGUCCUUAGUUACCAGCACGUCAUGGUGGGCACUCUAAGGAGACUGCCGGUGACAAACCGGAGGAAGGUGGGGAUGGACGUCAAGUCAUCAUGGCCCUUACGGCCUGGGCUACACACGUGCUACAAUGGUCGGUACAGAGGGUUGCCAAGCCGCGAGGUGGAGCUAAUCUCACAAAACCGAUCGUAGUCCGGAUCGCAGUCUGCAACUCGACUGCGUGAAGUCGGAAUCGCUAGUAAUCGCGAAUCAGAAUGUCGCGGUGAAUACGUU